This 470-nucleotide ribosomal RNA is filed under the name uncultured bacterium. RNAcentral describes it as "partial 16S ribosomal RNA". It matches the Rfam family "Bacterial small subunit ribosomal RNA", at positions 28 to 507 of the family's 1533-position model. The record is from RNAcentral.
GACGAACGCUGGCGGCGUGCUUAACACAUGCAAGUCGAACGCUGAAGCACCAGCUUGCUGGUGUGGAUGAGUGGCGAACGGGUGAGUAAUACGUGAGUAACCUGCCCUUGACUCUGGGAUAAGCCCGGGAAACUGGGUCUAAUACUGGAUGCUACAUGUCACCGCAUGGUGGUGUGUGGAAAGGGUUUACUGGUCUUGGAUGGGCUCACGGCCUAUCAGCUUGUUGGUGAGGUAAUGGCUCACCAAGGCGACGACGGGUAGCCGGCCUGAGAGGGUGACCGGCCACACUGGGACUGAGACACGGCCCAGACUCCUACGGGAGGCAGCAGUGGGGAAUAUUGCACAAUGGGCGAAAGCCUGAUGCAGCGGCGCCGCGUGAGGGAUGACGGCCUUCGGGUUGUAAACCUCUUUCAGCAGGGAAGAAGCCACAAGUGACGGUACCUGCAGAAGAAGCGCCGGCUAACUACGUG